Long non-coding RNA from Nyctereutes procyonoides (raccoon dog), 1009 nucleotides. RefSeq lists it as uncharacterized. The record is from RefSeq and is a predicted model, not a curated record. NCBI's taxonomy places the organism in Eukaryota, Metazoa, Chordata, Mammalia, Carnivora, Canidae. The transcript is spliced from 3 exons.
AGGGUGGCCGCCGCCGGGGAAUACACCGGAACGCUGGUGUCCCGUCCCAAGGGCCAGGAGCCAAUGCUCAGGGACGUCCUAUCCUAGAGGGUCUGUUCCUUUCUUCAGGAAGCAUCCACCAGCACCAGGCGGGCGCUGGGACCACAGACAAGUGUCGGAGGAAAGUGCAGGUGCCCACGGCCCUCCACGGAGAAGAUUCGGGAGAGGAGGCAAAGGAAGAGGCUGGGUGCUGGUUUGGGAGUCUCCACCAGCCCCAACAGGACGCACCAGUGGGUGCGGCGUGGCCCAAGUCGGGAGCAGGUGACCUCACGAUUGGGGGUUGGGGACCAAGAAUGUAGCCUCAAGCGCCCACCACGCCAACGCCCUGCCAUCCACGGCCCCUGCGACCUGGCCUGGACAUCGGAGCUCCACUCUGAGCCUCCGGGAGGGGAGCCCGUGUCCUGGAUUCAGCCUGACGCCCCAGUGAGGCCUCAAGAACCGUCCACGAGUGGGCAGCAGCCACAGCGGCAGGGCCUCCAGACCGCAAGUUCCCCACCGUGGCCCCCCACCACCACCGCCUCGGGAGGGGAAGCCCGGCUUCCUGAGGCUCAUGCAUUUGUGCAGGGCCUCAAGGACAGCAAGGCCAAGGGGCCAGGCUUCCCUUUCAGGUGGAGGGCCCGGCAUGGUGAGCCAGACCAGUGGUGGGCCGGUGUGCCCAGUCGGUGCCUCGGUGGGCCAUAAAGGUGCCCCUUGCGGGGGGGAGUGCAGGCUGCAUAUCCCAGCACCCUUGUCCUCACCCCAGACUUCCCCUUGGCACAACCCCCAGGAAAGAUGCCAGUCACUGUGGCUGCCGUCUUAGUGCUCGCUGUGGGCCAAGACCCCGACAUCGUCCCUACAGAACCUACCUAUGGGUCUGAUCGCACUUUUCCAGGGGUGACUAUUUGAGCAAAGCUGGUCUCCCCAGCAGAACAGUAAGCAACGUGGGGGCGGGGCUGUGUCUGUUUCAGCCACCAGCACCAGACCUGCUUCU